UACAGAGGGUGCAAACGUUAAUCGGAUUUACUGGGCGUAAAGCGUACGUAGGUUGCUUAGCAAGUUGAAUGUGAAAGACCUGGGCUCAACCUAGGAAGGCCAUUCAAAACUACUAGGCUAGAGUGUGGGAGAGGAAAGCAGAAUUUCCGGUGUAGCGGUGAAAUGCGUAGAUAUCGGAAAGAAUGACAGUGGCGAAGGCG
Molecule: ribosomal RNA, 200 nt
Filed under: uncultured bacterium
Lineage: Bacteria
Description: partial 16S ribosomal RNA
Rfam family: Bacterial small subunit ribosomal RNA
Source: RNAcentral